UCCCAGGUUAAGCCCGGGGAUUUCACAUCCAACUUAACAGACCGCCUGCGUGCGCUUUACGCCCAGUCAUUCCGAUUAACGCUUGCACCCUCCGUAUUACCGCGGCUGCUGGCACGGAGUUAGCCGGUGCUUCUUCUGCGGGUAACGUCAAUGAACAAGGUUAUUAACCUUGUCCCCUUCCUCCCCGCUGAAAGUGCUUUACAACCCGAAGGCCUUCUUCACACACGCGGCAUGGCUGCAUCAGGGUUUCCCCCAUUGUGCAAUAUUCCCCACUGCUGCCUCCCGUAGGAGUCUGGACCGUGUCUCAGUUCCAGUGUGGCUGGUCAUCCUCUCAGACCAGCUAGGGAUCGUCGCCUAGGUGAGCCGUUACCUCACCUACUAGCUAAUCCCAUCUGGGUUCAUCCGAUGGCGUGAGGCCCGAAGGUCCCCCACUUUGGUCUUGCGACGUUAUGCGGUAUUAGC
Molecule: ribosomal RNA, 462 nt
Filed under: Dickeya dadantii
Lineage: Bacteria; Pseudomonadati; Pseudomonadota; Gammaproteobacteria; Enterobacterales; Pectobacteriaceae
Description: partial 16S rRNA
Source: RNAcentral